GACGAACGCUGGCGGCGUGCUUAACACAUGCAAGUCGAACGGAAAGGCCCUGCUUUUGUGGGGUGCUCGAGUGGCGAACGGGUGAGUAACACGUGAGUAACCUGCCCUUGACUUUGGGAUAACUUCAGGAAACUGGGGCUAAUACCGGAUAGGAGCUCCUGCUGCAUGGUGGGGGUUGGAAAGUUUCGGCGGUUGGGGAUGGACUCGCGGCUUAUCAGCUUGUUGGUGGGGUAGUGGCUUACCAAGGCUUUGACGGGUAGCCGGCCUGAGAGGGUGACCGGCCACAUUGGGACUGAGAUACGGCCCAGGCUCCUACGGGAGGCAGCAGUGGGGAAUAUUGCACAAUGGGCGGAAGCCUGAUGCAGCAACGCCGCGUGCGGGAUGACGGCCUUCGGGUUGUAAACCGCUUUCGCCUGUGACGAAGCGUGAGUGACGGUAAUGGGUAAAGAAGCACCGGCUAACUACGUGCCAGCAGCCGCGGUGAUACGUAGGGUGCGAGCGUUGUCCGGAUUUAUUGGGCGUAAAGGGCUCGUAGGUGGUUGAUCGCGUCGGAAGUGUAAUCUUGGGGCUUAACCCUGAGCGUGCUUUCGAUACGGGUUGACUUGAGGAAGGUAGGGGAGAAUGGAAUUCCUGGUGGAGCGGUGGAAUGCGCAGAUAUCAGGAGGAACACCAGUGGCGAAGGCGGUUCUCUGGGCCUUUCCUGACGCUGAGGAGCGAAAGCGUGGGGAGCGAACAGGCUUAGAUACCCUGGUAGUCCACGCUGUAAACGGUGGGUACUAGGUGUGGGGUCCAUUCCACGGGUUCCGUGCCGUAGCUAACGCUUUAAGUACCCCGCCUGGGGAGUACGGCCGCAAGGCUAAAACUCAAAGGAAUUGACGGGGCCCCGCACAAGCGGCGGAGCAUGCGGAUUAAUUCGAUGCAACGCGUAGAACCUUACCUGGGUUUGACAUGGAUCGGGAGCGCUCAGAGAUGGGUGUGCCUCUUUUGGGGUCGGUUCACAGGUGGUGCAUGGCUGUCGUCAGCUCGUGUCGUGAGAUGUUGGGUUAAGUCCCGCAACGAGCGCAACCCUUGUUCACUGUUGCCAGCACGUUAUGGUGGGGACUCAGUGGAGACCGCCGGGGUCAACUCGGAGGAAGGUGGGGAUGACGUCAAGUCAUCAUGCCCCUUAUGUCCAGGGCUUCACGCAUGCUACAAUGGCUGGUACAGAGAGUGGCGAGCCUGUGAGGGUGAGCGAAUCUCGGAAAGCCGGUCUCAGUUCGGAUUGGGGUCUGCAACUCGACCUCAUGAAGUCGGAGUCGCUAGUAAUCGCAGAUCAGCAACGCUGCGGUGAAUACGUUCCCGGG
This 1343-nucleotide ribosomal RNA is filed under the name uncultured bacterium. Its description in RNAcentral is "16S ribosomal RNA". It matches the Rfam family "Bacterial small subunit ribosomal RNA", at positions 28 to 1378 of the family's 1533-position model. The record is from RNAcentral.